AUAUCAAUGAGCGGAGGAAAAGAAACCAACAGGGAUUGCCCUAGUAACGGCGAGUGAAGCGGCAACAGCUCAAAUUUGAAAUCUGGCUCCCUUCUUAGGGGGUCCGAGUUGUAAUUUGCAGAGGGUGCUUCGGCGUAGCAGCGGUGUAGGUUCCUUGGAACUGGGCGUCAUAGAGGGUGAGAACCCCGUCUGUCGCCGCCUUGCGAUCGCUUUGUGAAGCCCCUUCGAAGAGUCGAGUUGUUUGAGAAUGCAGCUCUAAAUGGGAGAUAAAUUUCUUCUAAAGCUAAAUACCUGCCAGAGACCGAUAGCGCACAAGUA
Molecule: ribosomal RNA, 318 nt
Filed under: uncultured eukaryote
Lineage: Eukaryota
Description: partial large subunit ribosomal RNA
Rfam family: Eukaryotic large subunit ribosomal RNA
Source: RNAcentral